Molecule: long non-coding RNA, 382 nt
Organism: Sinocyclocheilus anshuiensis
Lineage: Eukaryota; Metazoa; Chordata; Actinopteri; Cypriniformes; Cyprinidae
Exons: 3
Source: RefSeq, a predicted model, not a curated record
GCAGUGGAACAUUGGCGCCGUUUUCAAACUUCAGAGCCUCAGUGACUGGAACUCUUGUAACAGCUACAUUAUUCCUCAUUAUGAUUUUUUUUCUUUCAUUACUUAACUAUUAUUUUAUAAACAUUGGGAACUGGAAGAGUAUUUUCAUGAAAGGUGCAGGAGACAGACUACACUGGAAGAGGGGAGUCCGGCGGGUUACUUUGGGAAUACCAGGCACCUUUUUCUCUCCCCUGUUGCCUAACAUGCUGGAGAACGGGGAUCGAGGAAAGAAGAGAAGCGAUCUGUUCACAUUGCAUUCUCAUCCAAUUUCGAUCUGUCUUUAUUUAUUUAUUUGGAUAACUUGGCACUAAAUAUCCAUAAGACAUUUCUAUAUUACAUGUAA